CCUUAUUUGCGUCACUCAUAGAAACAAAUGACGCAAAUAAGAUAUUUUGACAACCUUAUAAGUAAUUUGCGUCGGGCAUUUGUUAUAAAGCGACGCAAAUGUCAAACAUAUUUCAACUUAUUUAUAUUUACGUCGCUUUUAUAAGUAGGAGCGACGCAUAUAACAAUGUUAUUUGCGUCACUCGUUUAUUGACAAGUGACGCAAAUAACCUUUGUGAGUCAAUUGCGUCAUUUCUUUCUUUACUGAGUGACGCAAAUGACCAUUACGACUUAUAUUAAUUCUCGCUGCCUUCUGCUGUUCGAACUUCAAUACUCCAAACCCUAGAAAAUUCAACCCCAAAAUUCCCAGAAAUUCAACAUCAAAACCCCAAAAAGUUGAUCGGUAAAACCCCUGAAUUCCCCAUUGCUGCUUUGCUGCUGUUCAACCCCCUAAACGUCAGCGAAUUAAGAGUAAUACCUCGAGAAAUUCGUCUUCAUAACCUACCAAUUUGACCACUAAUCAAAAAUCCCAGGAAAUGUGAGGCAAAACCCCUUAUAUUCGAGCAAAUCCGAGCAAAAAUCCCCUACUUUCUUGCAAAAAAUCUACCCAAAAUCCCCACGAAAUUCAAUUGCAAAAAAUCGAGCAAAUUACCUUAAUUAUAAUUUGAGCAAUAUAACAAUUGAAAGUUAGGGUUUGUACUCAAUAAUAUGGAAUUUUGGCUCUAUUGUUGCUGAAGUUGCAUAUGCAAAAUCGAUUUCAAGCAAGGAACUGGUGACUUUAUUUAAACUGUUUGCAAGAGAAAAAGGAAGUGGACUUCCAUUAUGGACUUGUUCGAUCGUGUUAGGGAAAAUGAAGAUUUUGUCCCUAAAUUGAAUUACGCUGGCUUCAAAUUCCAUAUUAUUUAUUGGAUUAUUUUGUUAUAGUUCUUAGGCUUGAAAUGAACGCAUUUGAUUUACCAACAUUUGGGUUGGUUUGGUGCUUGUGUUAUACUUAUUAAUUAAUGAUGAAGAGGUCAAUAUUGUUUUGUUGUAAACUUAGCGCAUGUUGGACUCUUGUUUUGGAUUAUAGGAUUGAAAUGAAAUUUGGUUAAUUGGUGUUGGGAUGAUGAGUAUAAUGUCUAUGAUAUUGAGAUGUAAAUUAGUGGACAGGUUGUUAAUAUAAUGCCGUCAUUCCCAAUUUUAUGGGUAGGCCAAAUUACAAAGGAGACUCUGCCGAAAUUUACAUUUGCAUUAUUCAAUAAUAUUGCAUUUUAAUUUCAA
Chenopodium quinoa (quinoa) is the source of this 1238-nucleotide long non-coding RNA. RefSeq lists it as uncharacterized. Lineage: Eukaryota; Viridiplantae; Streptophyta; Magnoliopsida; Caryophyllales; Amaranthaceae. The transcript is spliced from 2 exons. The record is from RefSeq and is a predicted model, not a curated record.